AGAUGGCGUCGUUUUUGGCUUGUUUGGUUUCUUCUUUCUCUCCGUCCAAACCUCUCUCUAUGCGACUUCAACGGCGAUAUAGUCCCUCUCUGUGGCUCCUCGACUCAACGGCGAGGUCUGUCUCGGUGGCUUUCCUCGGUGGUUCUCGUGGACGGCGACAGAUCUCUCUCUCGGUGGCUCACCAAUCGAAAGGACCUCUGAGUUUUGGGGCAAGAGGAAGAGGAAGAGGGAGAGGGAGAGGGAGAGGGAGAGUGAUGUCUACGCUCGAAAGAAUUUGAUCGGACUAGAUCAAACUAGAAUUUGAUCGGACUAGACUAGACUUAGACGUAAAACAAGAGCAUGCUUCACUCCUUCUCUUUCUCCGCAAAAGACCCUUAAAUUCGCCGCCUUACUGAGUAAGAGAGGAUUCUACACUCGCUUAGGCUCUGGCUAUGGCUUCUAUGGAGUUGAAGCAAAAGCAUGCUUUGCUCCUAAUGAACUUUGUUCUCUCCUACUACAGGCUGCUCAUAUUCCCCGUGCUCUCUUCUUUGAUUUGGAUGGAAUAUCAGAUCGAUCAACAAGUUUGCCACAUAUGUUACCGUCUGAGCAAGCUUUUGCUGCUGGCCGUUCUGCUCUUGGAAUUGAUAAUAAAGAUGGAGUGGUUGUUUAUGAUGGGAAUGGUCUCUUUAGUGCAGCCCGUGUAUGGUGGUUAGUUAUAGCACUCCUUUGGAUUUAUAUUCUUUUGCUUUGUUCAGUUUGUGUUUUCUCAGUUAUUGUUAUAAUUGAUGUGUGGUACAACUCGUCAGUUAGAUGGUGCAGGUAAAACAAGAACUUGAUGAUGUAUACAUGUCUAAGUGAUGCUUAUACUAUCCGUUGUUUCAUCGUCAUGUUGCCAGUAACGCUUUGUUUUCUUCCUUCUUGUUCUAGUUUUCUCAUGGAUCCCCUUCUUUCAUCUCAUAUAUUCAUAUCUUGGUGAUUGAUUUUCCAGAAGUUAAAAGAACAAGUAUACAACAAUGUUUAAUUUUUUUUUAAGAACCUUUAACUAAGAAA
Long non-coding RNA from Brassica oleracea var. oleracea, 1029 nucleotides. RefSeq lists it as uncharacterized. Lineage: Eukaryota; Viridiplantae; Streptophyta; Magnoliopsida; Brassicales; Brassicaceae. The transcript has 4 exons. The record is from RefSeq and is a predicted model, not a curated record.